RNAcentral lists this ribosomal RNA (465 nucleotides) under uncultured bacterium. Its description in RNAcentral is "partial 16S ribosomal RNA". It matches the Rfam family "Bacterial small subunit ribosomal RNA", at positions 338 to 795 of the family's 1533-position model. The record is from RNAcentral.
CCUACGGGUGGCAGCAGUGGGGAAUAUUGCGCAAUGGGCGAAAGCCUGACGCAGCGACGCCGCGUGAGGGAUGAAGGUCCUCGGAUCGUAAACCUCUGUCAGCAGGGAAGAACAGUCACUGUGCUAAUCAGCAGUGCAUUGACGGUACCUGCAAAGGAAGCACCGGCUAACUCCGGGCCAGCAGCCGCGGUCGUACGGAGGGUGCGAGCGGUGAUCGGAAUUACUGGGCGUAAAGCGCUCGUAGGCGGUAUGUCAAGUCAAGGGUGAAAUCCCCGGGCUCAACGGGGGAACUGCCUUUGAAACUGGCAAACUGGAGUGUGUGAGAGGAUAGUGGAAUUCCAGGUGUAGCAGUGAAAUCCGUAGAUAUCUGGAGGAACAUCAGUGGCGAAGGCGACUAUCUGGCAUAUAACUGACGCUGAGGAGCGAAAGCGUGGGUAGCAAACAGGAUUAGAUACCCUGGUAGUC